UCAGGCCUAACACAUGCAAGUCGAGCGCGCCUUCGGGCGAGCGGCGGACGGGUUAGUAACGCGUGGGAACGUGCCCAGAUCUACGGAAUAGCCACUGGAAACGGUGAGUAAUACCGUAUACGCCCUUCGGGGGAAAGAUUUAUCGGAUUUGGAUCGGCCCGCGUUAGAUUAGGUAGUUGGUGGGGUAAUGGCCUACCAAGCCUACGAUCUAUAGCUGGUUUUAGAGGAUGAUCAGCAACACAGGGACUGAGACACGGCCCAGACUCCUACGGGAGGCAGCAGUGGGGAAUCUUGGACAAUGGGGGCAACCCUGAUCCAGCCAUGCCGCGUGAGUGAAGAAGGCCCUAGGGUCGUAAAACUCUUUCGCCUGUGAUGAUAAUGACAGUAGCAGGUAAAGAAACCCCGGCUAACUCCGUGCCAGCAGCCGCGGUAAUACGGAGGGGGUUAGCGUUGUUCGGAAUUACUGGGCGUAAAGCGCACGUAGGCGGAUUAGAAAGUUAGAGGUGAAAUCCCGGGGCUCAACCCCGGAACUGCCUUUAAAACUACUAGUCUAGAGUUCGAGAGAGGUGAGUGGAAUUCCGAGUGUAGAGGUGAAAUUCGUAGAUAUUCGGAGGAACACCAGUGGCGAAGGCGGCUCACUGGCUCGAUACUGACGCUGAGGUGCGAAAGUGUGGGGAGCAAACAGGAUUAGAUACCCUGG
Molecule: ribosomal RNA, 700 nt
Filed under: uncultured bacterium
Lineage: Bacteria
Description: bacterial SSU rRNA
Rfam family: Bacterial small subunit ribosomal RNA
Source: RNAcentral